RNAcentral lists this unclassified non-coding RNA (1353 nucleotides) under Hevea brasiliensis (rubber tree). Lineage: Eukaryota; Viridiplantae; Streptophyta; Magnoliopsida; Malpighiales; Euphorbiaceae. The record is from RNAcentral.
GAGAUGCCAAGGGGCAGGCAAUUUAAGCUUUGUAAGGGUUUUUAAGGAAUGGGUUCGAUUUCACCUUCUGGGCCUGUGUGUUAUUAUUGAGCCUCAGGUUAGUGGCUUGUUUGCUGAUAGAGUUAUUACGAAAAUGGGUUUCUUGCGUUCAUACCGGAUUGAAAGCAUUGGCUUCGUAGGUGGUAUCUGGUUUGUGUGGAAUCCUUCCCGUGUGCCAGUUACUGUUAUUUUUCAACAUUUUCAAAUUAUUCAUCCUUAAAUGGAAGCUAAGACUGGUGAAAGCUUCUUAUUUACUACGGUUUAUACUAGUUGUAGCUAGCUACCAGGUGUGUUUUAUAGGAAUCUCCGUCUUCUAUUGUUGCCUUUAUUUCUUAGCCUUGGCUUAUGGCAGGAGAUUUCAAUUCUAUUGCUUUUUCUUUUGAGAAGUUGGGGCGUGCUACAGCGAGCUCAUCAAGAUGUCGUGAGUUUAGGGAUUAGAUUGACAGUUGUAAUUUACUUGAUCUACGUUUUGUUGAGCCUCAAUUUACUUGGAAGAGAGGGGUAGUGGAGGAACGUUUGGAUAGGGUGCUAUGUGAUUUGGAUUGGCGGACUAAGUAUAUUGAUGCCACGUUAUAUCACCUACAUUGCUUGAAUUCUACUCACCGUUCACUUCUUAUAAAGGUUAAUCAUGUGGAGCAUCCUUCCAGUCGAACAGGUCAGUUUCGAUUUUUAUCAGCUUGGCUAUUGGAUGAAGGGUUUCGGUUAGUUAUGGAUGGAAGUUGGGUUUCAGUUAACAUAUAAGAGAAUAUCUCUAGUUUUUGUGCAGCGGCCUCUUAUUGGAAUAAGAAUGUUUUUGGCAAUAUUGGCAAAAGAAAGUCAAAUUUGCUGAAGAGGAUUGUUGGUGUUGAGCGCGCUCUCGAGCUACAUCCUAAUUCACAAUGUCUUUUGAAUAUUGAACCCAACCUUAAAUUGGAAAUGGAGAAUGUGUAACAACAGAAGAAACUAUUUUGGUUCCAAAAGUCAUGGACUGACCGGAUUAAUAAUGGUGAUAGGAAUACUAAAUAUUUUCAUGCCAUUGCUCUCACCAGGCAAAAGAGGAAUAAGAUUGAAGCUCUUUGUGAUAGUUCGGGUAACUAGUGUAUACGUCCAUUCCUGUGCUUCAUCAGAGAGUGGUUUCUUUUUUUCUUGAAUUUGUAUAGUGAGCUAGUGCCUUAUAAAGACUCUUAUCAUAUCCGAGAUAGCUUUCCAGCCAUCACUGCUUCCUAGUAUGAGUUUAUGAUUUACAUGCCAGAUAUUUCCGAAGUGAAGCAACUUGCUUUUAGCAUGGGUCCUCAUAAAGCUCUAGGCUCGGAUGGACUUCCCCUUAUUUUUUUU